RNAcentral lists this ribosomal RNA (782 nucleotides) under uncultured bacterium. RNAcentral's name for it is "bacterial SSU rRNA". It matches the Rfam family "Bacterial small subunit ribosomal RNA", at positions 39 to 822 of the family's 1533-position model. The record is from RNAcentral.
GCGGAAUGCUUUACACAUGCAAGUCGAACGGUAGAGGGGGCAACCCCUCGAGAGUGGCGAACGGGUGAGUAAUAUAUCGGAACGUGCCCAGUCGUGGGGGAUAACGUAGCGAAAGUUACGCUAAUACCGCAUACGAUCUACGGAUGAAAGCGGGGGAUCGCAAGACCUCGCGCGACUGGAGCGGCCGAUAUCAGAUUAGGUAGUUGGUGGGGUAAAGGCUCACCAAGCCAACGAUCUGUAGCUGGUCUGAGAGGACGACCAGCCACACUGGAACUGAGACACGGUCCAGACUCCUACGGGAGGCAGCAGUGGGGAAUUUUGGACAAUGGACGCAAGUCUGAUCCAGCCAUUCCGCGUGCAGGAUGAAGGCCCUCGGGUUGCAAACUGCUUUUGUACGGAACGAAAAGGUUUCCAUUAAUACUGGGAGCUCAUGACGGUACCGUAAGAAUAAGCACCGGCUAACUACGUGCCAGCAGCCGCGGUAAUACGUAGGGUGCAAGCGUUAAUCGGAAUUACUGGGCGUAAAGCGUGCGCAGGCGGUUAUGUAAGACAGAGGUGAAAUCCCCGGGCUCAACCUGGGAACUGCCUUUGUGACUGCAUAGCUAGAAUACGGUAGAGGGGGAUGGAAUUCCGCGUGUAGCAGUGAAAUGCGUAGAUAUGCGGAGGAACACCGAUGGCGAAGGCAAUCCCCUGGACCUGUACUGACGCUCAUGCACGAAAGCGUGGGGAGCAAACAGGAUUAGAUACCCUGGUAGUCCACCCCUUAACGAUGUCACUGGUUG